ACGCCACUGGUGGGCAGCGAAAGAAAGGGGUGGAAAGGGGGGCAUCAGCGUCUGUGCGGAAAGCGCAGAGUAGGAACCACGUGCCCACGUUCCCUACGGCCCUGCCCUGGCGACAGCUGGCACAGCCAGCGACCGGGAAUAGGUUGGUGCGGGGGUGGGGGGGGGGGGGGGGGGGGGGGCAAAAGGCAAUGCAGCCGGCGAGGAGGGUGGCUUUGGCCGCGUGAAAGGCUCUUUGUGCCCGCACUCGGGGUGGGGGCAACGCGGGCGAGCGGACCCGGAGGCUGGGCGUCCUGGCCCGCCGCUGCGCGCCCCUCCGCCGCCGCGCUGCCCAGACCCGGGAGCCGGAGAGAUCGCGGCGGCUGCAAGGGCGCAGCGCCUUCCCGGGCGCUCCCUCACAGUCGGGGAUCCGGGAGGGCGAGCCCCCCCUCCCCGGCGCCCCCCAGGUUCCCGCCGCCCCCACGAAGGAAAGAGAAGCGGGCGCCGCGCUGCCUCGCUCAGCGCCCCGGCCGCGUGGCUUGCGGCUUAUUUUCCCAGCUGGCAAGCGUCGUGCUGCAGACAAGGGAAUGCCUGUGGUGCUGCGUGUUCCGGAGCUCAGGGGUCCCCCGAUCCCGCCAAGCCCCCUCCAGGAGCGGAAGGGUUAAGAAUGAUGUAAGUACCAUACACAAGCCGCUAGCCGCCGGGCCGUAGGGCUCCGGGCUGCUUCUCCCCGGCUUUGCCGGGGAAGAACAGCGGGGAAUCUUUCCUCGAAAAUGGGUGGCACACAUCGCAGCCCUGGGUCUGAUUCCUGGCUCCUCUGCCCCGGGGUGGUCUGUUAGAAGAGGGUCCUGGUAGAUCUCUGCAAAUGGAGAUUCUGGGUAUUAACAGGGGUUAGACAUCAUGUAAAGGUUCACGAAAAGAAACCACGUCUGUUUAGAAUCCAUUAAUGUUGCUGGCAUGUGUUUUAUUUCUACCCAUUUGGCACCUGCAUACUGUGGGAUGCUUUCCUGUGUCCCCUAAUUGUACUGUUCUGCUUUCCUCUUUUCUUCCUGAAAACAAAGAGGAAGGAAGAAAGAAUACAAGGGGCAAGACACAGGGUGGAUUUGUUUGAGUUGUGUAAGCUGUCACGUCACGGUUUUCUUUUAUAUUAAAAUAUAAAACUUUUAUAAGUCAUCGAUUUUAUGUUUGUGUUCUAGCUCCCUCUCCAGAUUUUUCUUUGUAGAGUCUUAAGACUCCUUAACUUGUGGCAUACUAGCUGGGGAAGUGGGUUCGCUAUAAUUGACCGUUCACCACGCUCUUGCUUCCCAAGCUGACUUGGGAUCUUGUUAACAGUCCGAAUGUACCCGGCGAAUGUGUCAACUAACCUUAAUGUCCUGAAAAUAGGAACCACCUUGCGGUUUAAUUGUGAAAAUUAACAUUUUCCUCUAACAUGCUGAACACUUAUGCAGCAAUAAAAAGUGAAUUCUUAGGCGUAUAAAUCUUGGGCUUGUCAAACGUUUACAACAGAGGAGCAAUAAAGCGCCUCAAAAGAAAUGAAGUUUUUCCUCUAAGGAACAAUAGUUUCAUUUCAGGACGCUAGGACGUGCAGUGACUCGGGGGUGCCCUCUGUUGGUAAAAUCUAGAGCAACCAUGUACUUGAGGAACAGGAUAUAAGGGAGAAGAGGAAACGGAGGAAAAUUAUAGAAAAUCAGGAGUGAAAAAACUCCUGAACUCAAACUAAACUCAUACUAAACUGAAUUUGACCCUUAACUCUUGGUUACAUGUUUUAAAGUAUGGCCAAUAAAGUGGGAUUCUUCUUUCAUAGGAGUCGAACUAAAUCUUGGGUUAAGGAAGAGGAAACAUCUUACUAUUAGUCUUUGUUAGCAAAAUGCUUUGAAAGAUGCUGUUUACAUUGAUUACUUUGAAAAAGAGGUUUACCAGGGUUUCAUUGACUUGAUUUCAUUAGUAAUAUGUAGUAAUUGCAAGAAAAUCAAUUUGGGGCUUAACAGUAUUUACUUCACAGUAUCACCUAAAAAUCAUAUCGCAUAACUACCCCCCCCCAAAAGUCAUUUCUCCAGGCAACUCUGAAGCUACUGUUAAGCAUAUUAUGGAUACACACAAGACUUGGGUUAUAUCGUGGGCAGUGAAAGGUGUGUUUACCACUUGAGUCAUCACAGUAUGUAAUAACUAAGUAAUGAAAAGUUGCAGUAAAAAUAGAUAGGCAUCCUUCAUUACGGAGCUAGUGGUUUGUAUAAUUCAGAACGUGUGUAAUGAGUAAGCUGGAGUGAUGGAAAGUUUGCCCUCAAUUUUCCUGGUCCAUUGAUUGGCACUUUUUAACAUGUGGAAUACUAACAUGUCCGUGGUUGAUACGAAAAUUCCUAAAUUAGGGAUUCUGAGUAAUGUAGCAGGUAGAGUUGCAGACUUCGACUUGGAUAUAAGUGAAUUUAAAACGGCAGCCCAUUGCCGUUUGCGGUGCUGCUGCGCGAAGUCGCUCGGUCGUGUUGGGCUCUUUGCGACCCUACGGCCUGUAGCCCCGCCAGGCUCCUCUGUGUAGGGGAUUCUCCAGGCAAGAACACUAGACUGUUGGAGAAAGGCAAAGACGAGGACAGUAUGAAGUGGUUCCUGGCCUUUGAGGCCAUUCUUGAGAUUAGAUACCACUUCACACCUGCUGAUAACAAAUUGGAACCUAUCAUCGACCUCAUAAAACAUGCUUUCCUUUAUCUCUGGAAGCCUCUUUUCCCGCCAGCAAUUGGUUUCCCUCUCAUUUUUGGAAUCAUCCCAUCGCAAAAGUAGAAACGGAACUGCUAUUGAAUUAAUUUGCUAAUAGACGAUGAACAUUUGUGGAAAAGCCACGGAGCAACAACAGAUCAUGGUAUAAAAUUACACUGCAUUAAAAACUCACUAUCCUCAUGAAUCUAACUACAGUGUAACAGAACACGUAGACGUUCCCCCUACUCUCAGCCCCCCCUCCCCAACUGCUUUCAGGAAGGGAAAAAUGUCAGAGUGACAGGAACACCAGAGCCUCUCACAGCUGCCCGCGAACCCCACCAGGGAGCUGGCGGCUACCUUCCCAGGCCAUCCGAUUCGUUCUGGACCGCGGGUCACAUUCGCAUUUCCAAAGCGACUGGCUUUACCGAAAGUCCCGAAUGAGUUCAGAAGGCGUUGACUUUACUAAAAAAAAAAAAAAAAAAAAAAAAAA
RNAcentral lists this long non-coding RNA (3154 nucleotides) under Cervus hanglu yarkandensis (Yarkand deer). Its description in RNAcentral is "lncRNA (ENSCHYG00000007462.1)". Lineage: Eukaryota; Metazoa; Chordata; Mammalia; Artiodactyla; Cervidae. The record is from RNAcentral.